This 242-nucleotide ribosomal RNA is filed under the name uncultured bacterium. RNAcentral describes it as "partial 16S ribosomal RNA". It matches the Rfam family "Bacterial small subunit ribosomal RNA", at positions 99 to 334 of the family's 1533-position model. The record is from RNAcentral.
CGAACUGGUGAGUAACACGUGGGUAACCUGCCCUAAAGCAGGGGAUAACAUUUGGAAACAAAUGCUAAUACCGUAUAAUUAGUUGGAACCACAUGGUUCCAACUUGAAAGAUGGCUCUGCUAUCACUUUAGGAUGGACCCGCGGCGUAUUAGCUAGUUGGUGAGAUAAUAGCUCACCAAGGCGAUGAUACGUAGCCGACCUGAGAGGGUAAUCGGCCACAUUGGGACUGAGACACGGCCCAG